This 481-nucleotide ribosomal RNA is filed under the name uncultured bacterium. Its description in RNAcentral is "partial 16S ribosomal RNA". It matches the Rfam family "Bacterial small subunit ribosomal RNA", at positions 28 to 507 of the family's 1533-position model. The record is from RNAcentral.
GACGAACGCUGGCGGCGUGCUUAACACAUGCAAGUCGAACGGGAUCCGGGCUUUCGGGUUUGGUGAGAGUGGCGAACGGGUGAGUAACACGUGAGUAACCUGCCCCCUUCUUUGGGAUAACGUCGGGAAAUCGGCGCUAAUACUGGAUAUUCUUGCUGCAUCGCAUGGUGUGGUUUGGAAAGGGUUUCUGGUGGGGGAUGGGCUCGCGGCCUAUCAGCUUGUUGGUGGGGUGAUGGCCUACCAAGGCUUUGACGGGUAGCCGGCCUGAGAGGGUGUCCGGCCACACUGGGACUGAGCAACGGCCAAGACUCAUACGGGAGGCAGCAGUGGGGAAUAUUACACAAUGGGCGCAAGCCUGAUGCAGCGACGCCGCGUGAGGGAUGACGGCCUUCGGGUUGUAAACCUCUUUCAGUAUGGAAAAAGGAUCCUUCUUUUGGGGGGUUUGAGGGUACGUGAAGAAGAAGCGCCGGCUAACUACGUG